UGGAGCCACUGCCCCUUCCUACGCCA
Molecule: non-coding RNA, 26 nt
Filed under: Mus musculus (house mouse)
Lineage: Eukaryota; Metazoa; Chordata; Mammalia; Rodentia; Muridae
Source: RNAcentral